CGGUAUUUCCGCAAAAGUUGCAAUAUUUUAUGCACCAUUUCACGUGAGAUCGCACGUGGAGGGCUAUUCGCGCUAUUACACGUACUGGGAGGGACUUAGUAUUAUAUACUACAGUUUGGGGGGCUAACUCGCGAAGUUGCACCAUGAUAUAUAUGUAUUUUAGGGUUUCUUCCAUCUAACCCUAACCCUAGCUAGCCCCCAGCUACGCUAGUCGCCCCUGCCACCUUCACCUUGCUCCCUUUCCCUAGCCGCAGACCCCCGGCCGCCGCCGGUUGAGCCCCUGUCGCCGCCGAGCCAC
RNAcentral lists this long non-coding RNA (298 nucleotides) under Ananas comosus (pineapple). Its description in RNAcentral is "long non-coding RNA (ACOM_LNC002078)". The record is from RNAcentral. Lineage: Eukaryota; Viridiplantae; Streptophyta; Magnoliopsida; Poales; Bromeliaceae.